GUGCUCCAUUUGGCAGCACAUCUACUAAACUGGACCAAUACAGAGGUCAGCAUGGUCCCUGCUCAUGGGUGAUAGGCAAGUUCAUGAAGAGUUCCCUAUCUUU
Small nuclear RNA from Peromyscus maniculatus bairdii (prairie deer mouse), 103 nucleotides. The record is from Ensembl. Lineage: Eukaryota; Metazoa; Chordata; Mammalia; Rodentia; Cricetidae.